UACGUAGGGUGCAAGCGUUAAUCGGAAUUACUGGGCGUAAAGCGUGCGCAGGCGGUUAUGUAAGACAGUUGUGAAAUCCCCGGGCUCAACCCGGGAACUGCGUCCGAUACUGGCAGGCUUGAAUCCGGGAGAGGGAUGCGGAAUUCCAGGUGUAGCGGUGAAAUGCGUAGAUAUCUGGAGGAACACCGGUGGCGAAGGCGGCAUCCUGGACCGGCAUUGACGCUGAGGCGCGAAAGCCAGGGGAGCAAACGGG
This 253-nucleotide ribosomal RNA is filed under the name uncultured bacterium. RNAcentral's name for it is "partial 16S ribosomal RNA". It matches the Rfam family "Bacterial small subunit ribosomal RNA", at positions 524 to 776 of the family's 1533-position model. The record is from RNAcentral.